GCCUGGUGGUGGGAACACACAAAAUGGAGGGCUGUUUUCUGGAGCCAGUGAUUCAUAAGGGGGCAAAGAGAAUGGCGAGCUAAGACUAUAUGGUUCUACAUUUGAUGAGAAAACGAUUUUGUUACUGCAAUGCCACAAGAUGUGACGAAAGAGGCUUCUGAUUAUGGGUCCAGUGUUGCACUCCAACUUCAGUGCAGUGAAAGACUCAAAGGUGGAACAAUGUGAGGUUUUUAUAUAAAGAAUACAUAGGCUUGGCCAGAGUAAAGGAAGAGUAGACAAGAGGGUUCUGUUUGGGAUAAAGAUUGAUUCUUUGGUUGGAGAUGUGAGCAUGAAGGCAUGCCAAAAGUGCAGAAAAGUUGUCACAAAUGCGAGUAUUUUAUGGGAAUUGGCUCACCGGCUCAACAAUGUCCUUUUCAGGGAGUUUUUAUAACUGCAUUUCAUGUUGGUAUAUAUGCUUACUUCCUCAUUGGAAAA
This is a long non-coding RNA of Vigna radiata var. radiata (mung bean), 474 nucleotides long. RefSeq lists it as uncharacterized. NCBI's taxonomy places the organism in Eukaryota, Viridiplantae, Streptophyta, Magnoliopsida, Fabales, Fabaceae. The record is from RefSeq and is a predicted model, not a curated record. The transcript is spliced from 2 exons.